AAGCACGUGGUGUUCAUGAUGCUUCAUGAAGCCGUGGAGCGGAAGCCGGGCGCAAUGGCUCUGUUCCCGCCACAUGCUC
Molecule: regulatory RNA element, 79 nt
Organism: Prosthecochloris sp. CIB 2401
Lineage: Bacteria; Pseudomonadati; Chlorobiota; Chlorobiia; Chlorobiales; Chlorobiaceae
Rfam family: S6-S18-Chlorobi ribosomal protein leader
Source: Rfam